This is a small nuclear RNA of Molossus molossus (Pallas's mastiff bat), 108 nucleotides long. The record is from RefSeq and is a predicted model, not a curated record. Lineage: Eukaryota; Metazoa; Chordata; Mammalia; Chiroptera; Molossidae.
GUGCUCGCUUCAGCAGCACAUAUACUAAAAUUGAAACGAUACAGAGAAGAUUAGCAUGGCCCCUUCCCAAAGGAUGACAUGUAAAUUCGUGAAGCAUUCCAUAUUUUU